UACAGAGGUGUCAAACGUUGUCCGGAAUUACUGGGCGUAAAGGGCGCGUAGGCGGUGGGAUAAGUCAGGUGUGUAAGCUCAGGGCUCAACCCUGAAAUUGCACCUGAUACUGUUUCACUUGAGUUGGGUAGAGGAGGGCGGAAUUCCUGGUGUAGCGGUGAAAUGCGUAGAUAUCAGGAGGAACACCUGUGGCGAAGGCGGCUCUCUGGUCCCACACUGACGCUGAGGCGCGAAAGUUAGGGUAGCAAAC
Molecule: ribosomal RNA, 250 nt
Filed under: uncultured bacterium
Lineage: Bacteria
Description: partial 16S ribosomal RNA
Rfam family: Bacterial small subunit ribosomal RNA
Source: RNAcentral